AGCAGCCGCGGUAAUUCCAGCUCCAAUAGCGUAUAUUAAAGUUGUUGCAGUUAAAAGCUCGUAGUUGAAUUUCGGGAUUGACGUGAUGGUCGUGCCUUAAGGGGUAUGAACUGUUGCUGUUGAUUUCUCACCUUCUGGAGAAACUUGAUGUCCUUAAUUGGGUGUCUUGCGGAUCCAGGACCUUUACCUUGAAAAAAUUAGAGUGUUUAAAGCAGGCAUUUUUGCUCGAAUACAUUAGCAUGGAAUAAUAGAAUAGGACGGCAUGGUUCUAUUUUGUUGGUUUCUAGGAUCACCGUAAUGAUUAAUAGGGAUAGUUGGGGGCAUUAGUAUUCAAUUGUCAGAGGUGAAAUUCUUGGAUUUAUUGAAGACUAACUACUGCGAAAGCAUUUGCCAAGGAUGUUUUCAUUAAUCAAGAACGAAAGUUAGGGGAUCGAAGACGAUCAGAUACCGUCGUAGUCUUAACCAUAAACUAUGCCGACUAGGAAUCAGACGAUGUUAAUUUUUUAAUGACUCGUUUGGC
RNAcentral lists this unclassified non-coding RNA (520 nucleotides) under uncultured Entrophospora. RNAcentral describes it as "SSU rRNA". It matches the Rfam family "Eukaryotic small subunit ribosomal RNA", at positions 569 to 1084 of the family's 1831-position model. Lineage: Eukaryota; Fungi; Glomeromycota; Glomeromycetes; Entrophosporales; Entrophosporaceae. The record is from RNAcentral.